RNAcentral lists this ribosomal RNA (497 nucleotides) under uncultured bacterium. Its description in RNAcentral is "partial 16S ribosomal RNA". It matches the Rfam family "Bacterial small subunit ribosomal RNA", at positions 28 to 507 of the family's 1533-position model. The record is from RNAcentral.
GAUGAACGCUGGCGGCGUGCCUAAUACAUGCAAGUCGAGCGAACAGACGAGGAGCUUGCUCCUCUGACGUUAUCGGCGGACGGGUGAGUAACACGUGGAUAACCUACCUAUAAGACUGGGAUAACUUCGGGAAACCGGAGCUAAUACCGGAUAAUAUAUUGAACCGCAUGGUUCAAUAGUGAAAGACGGUUUUGCUUUCACUUAUAGAUGGAUCCGCGCCGCAUUAGCUAGUUGGUAAGGUAACGGCUUACCAAGGCAACGAUGCGUAGCCGACCUGAGAGGGUGAUCGGCCACACUGGAACUGAGACACGGUCCAGACUCCUACGGGAGGCAGCAGUAGGGAAUCUUCCGCAAUGGGCGAAAGCCUGAAGGAGCAACGCCGCGUGAGUGAUGAAGGUCUUCGGAUCGUAAAACUCUGUUAUUAGGGAAGAACAAAUGUGUAAGUAACUAUGCACGUCUUGACGGUACCUAAUCAGAAAGCCACGGCUAACUACGUG